AGUGAACGCUGGCGGUAGGCCUAACACAUGCAAGUCGAACGGCAGCACAGUAAGAUCUUGCUCUUACGGGUGGCGAGUGGCGGACGGGUGAGGAAUACAUCGGAAUCUACUUUUUCGUGGGUGAUAACGUAGGGAAACUUACGCUAAUACCGCAUACGACCUACGGGUGAAAUCAUGGGAUCUUCUCACCUUUCGCGUUUGUAUUAGCUGAUGUCGGAUUAGCUUGUUGGCUGGGUAAACGCCCACCAAGGCGACGAUCCGUAGCUGGUCUGACAGGAUGAUCAGCCACACUGGAACUGAGACACGGUCCAGACUCCUACGGGAGGCAGCAGUGGGGAAUAUUGGACAAUGGGCGAAAGCCUGAUCCAGCCAUACCGCGUGGGUGAAGAAGGACUUCGGGUUGUAAAGCCCUUUUGUUGGGAAAGAAAAGCAGCAGGUUAAUACCCCGCUGUUCUGACGGUACCCAAAGAAUAAGCACCGGCUAACUUCGUG
RNAcentral lists this ribosomal RNA (492 nucleotides) under uncultured bacterium. RNAcentral's name for it is "partial 16S ribosomal RNA". It matches the Rfam family "Bacterial small subunit ribosomal RNA", at positions 29 to 507 of the family's 1533-position model. The record is from RNAcentral.